UACGGAGGGUGCGAGCGUUAAUCGGAAUUACUGGGCGUAAAGCGCGCGUAGGCGGUUCAAUGAGUCUGAUGUGAAAGCCCUGGGCUUAACCUGGGAACUGCAUUGGAUACUGUUGGGCUAGAGUGUGGUAGAGGGUAGUGGAAUUCCCGGUGUAGCAGUGAAAUGCACAGAGAUCGGGAGGAACACCAGUGGCGAAGGCGGCUACCUGGACCAACACUGACGCUGAGGUGCGAAAGCGUGGGGAG
This 245-nucleotide ribosomal RNA is filed under the name uncultured Methylococcus sp. Its description in RNAcentral is "partial 16S ribosomal RNA". It matches the Rfam family "Bacterial small subunit ribosomal RNA", at positions 524 to 768 of the family's 1533-position model. Lineage: Bacteria; Pseudomonadati; Pseudomonadota; Gammaproteobacteria; Methylococcales; Methylococcaceae. The record is from RNAcentral.